Molecule: ribosomal RNA, 470 nt
Filed under: uncultured organism
Description: partial 16S ribosomal RNA
Rfam family: Bacterial small subunit ribosomal RNA
Source: RNAcentral
ACUCCUGCGGGAGGCAGCAGUGGGGAAUAUUGCACAAUGGGCGCAAGCCUGAUGCAGCCAUGCCGCGUGUAUGAAGAAGGCCUUCGGGUUGUAAAGUACUUUCAGCGGGGAGGAAGGCGAUAAGGUUAAUAACCUUGUCGAUUGACGUUACCCGCAGAAGAAGCACCGGCUAACUCCGUGCCAGCAGCCGCGGUAAUACGGAGGGUGCAAGCGUUAAUCGGAAUUACUGGGCGUAAAGCGCACGCAGGCGGUCUGUCAAGUCGGAUGUGAAAUCCCCGGGCUCAACCUGGGAACUGCAUUCGAAACUGGCAGGCUAGAGUCUUGUAGAGGGGGGUAGAAUUCCAGGUGUAGCGGUGAAAUGCGUAGAGAUCUGGAGGAAUACCGGUGGCGAAGGCGGCCCCCUGGACAAAGACUGACGCUCAGGUGCGAAAGCGUGGGGAGCAAACAGGAUUAGAAACCCCUGUAGUCCC